This 253-nucleotide ribosomal RNA is filed under the name uncultured bacterium. Its description in RNAcentral is "partial 16S ribosomal RNA". It matches the Rfam family "Bacterial small subunit ribosomal RNA", at positions 524 to 776 of the family's 1533-position model. The record is from RNAcentral.
UACGAAGGGGGCUAGCGUUGCUCGGAAUCACUGGGCGUAAAGCGCCCGUAGGUGGCUUUUUAAGUCAGGGGUGAAAUCCUGGAGCUCAACUCCAGAACUGCCUUUGAUACUGAGAAGCUUGAGUCCGGGAGAGGUGAGUGGAACUGCGAGUGUAGAGGUGAAAUUCGUAGAUAUUCGCAAGAACACCAGUGGCGAAGGCGGCUCACUGGCCCGGUACUGACGCUGAGGUGCGAAAGCGUGGGGAGCAAACAGG